AUCCAGCUGAUGAGUCCCAAGCAGGACGAAACGUGCGUCUUGGAA
Schistosoma curassoni is the source of this 45-nucleotide non-coding RNA. The record is from Rfam. Lineage: Eukaryota; Metazoa; Platyhelminthes; Trematoda; Strigeidida; Schistosomatidae.